UAUCCCUACGGGGGGCAGCAGUGAGAAAUAUUGGUCAAUGGGCGGAAGCCUGAACCAGCCAAGUCGCGUGAGGGAAGAAGUCCCUGCGGGUCGCAGACCUCUCUGGACGGGGAGCAAGGCCGCCGACGUGUCGGCGGAAGGACAGUACCCGUAGAACAAGCAUCGGCUAACUCCGUGCCAGCAGCCGCGGUAAUACGGAGGAUGCGAGCGUUAUCCGGAUUUAUUGGGCUUAAAGGGUGCGCAGGCGGCACGGCAAGCC
RNAcentral lists this ribosomal RNA (259 nucleotides) under uncultured bacterium. RNAcentral describes it as "partial 16S ribosomal RNA". It matches the Rfam family "Bacterial small subunit ribosomal RNA", at positions 334 to 589 of the family's 1533-position model. The record is from RNAcentral.